Molecule: non-coding RNA, 1734 nt
Organism: Heterocephalus glaber (naked mole-rat)
Lineage: Eukaryota; Metazoa; Chordata; Mammalia; Rodentia; Bathyergidae
Source: RefSeq, a predicted model, not a curated record
UUCAUUCGUGAUUGAACUAUUAUUUAUUGAACUAAGUAUUGUUUUAAGCACUGAAAAACACUAGAGGGGGGAAAAGUCAUAAAAUAUGUCUCCCAUAAAGUAUAUAUCUUUGGGUAGGAGAGAAGGGAGGAGAAGGAGAGGGAGGGGAGACUGAGCAGAAGGUUUUUGUCAAGGAACGAUAAGUACUGUGGAGAAAGUUAAAACAGCAACAGGAAUUAGAGGGUCGCUUAGAAGCAGCAACGUGAAGAAAGGAUAGAACAAGUCAGUCAGUUGCCUGGAGAAAGACCAUUUUGGGCGGAGGGAACAGCCCUGGUGUGAGAGGCCUGGCACAUUCGAGAAGCACUGGGAAGGGCAGGGAAGUGGAGUGAGCAAGAGAAGAAGGGUGAAGGGUGAACAAAAGGUGAAGGGUAAAGGGUAAUGCGGAGAUUAGUUCCUGGUUAAAACUUUGGACAUUACUUUCAGUGCAAUGGAAACCACAGGAGAGAUUUUAGCAUGGUGGAGCAUGUUUAGAGUUAAGUUUUAAGUUUAAUGCAUUACUCUGGUCACCGUGUUGAGAAUUCCACAUGCGGAUGAUGGUGGUAAGUGUGGAGCAGGAAUGACCACUGUGACAAUCAGAGCAAGAGAUCGUGGUGGCUUGUACAGGGAGAGCAUUGGAGGAGGUAAAAAGUUGGAGUCUGGAUGUAUUCCGAGGGUGAGAGGAUAUCCUAAUGGAUUGUGGGUGGCCUGUGAGGGAUAGGGAGCAAAGAUCAUGCCAUGAUUUCUGACCUAAGCAGAUGAAAAGAAUGGAGUUGCUGUUGGCAGGGUUUGGGAAAACGUUUAGGGAAAGCAGCUUUUAGUGAAAAACCGGAAGUUUGGUUUUGUAAAUGUUAAUUUUGAAAUGCUCAUUAGAUGUCCAGAUGGAGAUGUCACGUUGGCAAUGUAGAGUGGGGCUGGAGUGCAGACUAGGGAUGUACUUUGGGAGUUGUUGGUCGUGAGCUCACAAAGAGAGUCGAUGUCAACAGGGAAGAGGUUAAGGAAUCCUGGAAUACUCUAACAUUCUGUGGUCUGGCAAAGGAAACCAAAUAAAAGUGACUAAUGAAGUAGGGGAACUGAACUCCACAAAGCAAGAGGAUUGUGUGUCCAGAGGAAUGAAACGAUUCAACUCUGUCAAAUGCUGCUUGUAAGUUGCGUAAGAUGAGGACUGAGAAUCAACCGUCGGAUUUGACAGCUUCUGAGGCUGAGAGGGAUUAAGCAAGUGGCAGUCUUCAGAUUCCAAAUGUUGCAUUUGUCUGGCUGAGGAAGGUGGAGGUCAAAGAACAUGUAUCCAAAGCGGAAGAAGUACAAGUUAGAUGGAGAAGGAAGCAGUGAAGGCCACUGCAGCAUUUUUCUGAAGACGGCUUCAUUACCAACAAGCAGCAUGAAGAUGAUCUUCUUCAUGACACUCCUCUGGUCAAGACUGUAGAAAGCAAGGCUGUUUUGACAGAUGUUGGAGGAGACAUUUUAAGCUGAUCCAGGUAUGGCUUUUCCCCCACCUUUUUAAAGAAAAAAAUAAUUUUCUCACUAGUCAUGGUACUGGUUCGAUCAUGCUAUAGACAGGCUCUUGGCAUUCUUUAUUUUUUCUUCACUGCACUUACUCCAGUUUGCAAUUGCAUUUCCAUUCUCCUUACUACCAGUUAAUGUCUACCCCCCCAAGACUAUAAGAGGUCCCAUGAGAACAUUACUUUUAAUUCCAGUGAUUAGUUCCCUGCCUGUCAC